RNAcentral lists this long non-coding RNA (318 nucleotides) under Cyanistes caeruleus (blue tit). RNAcentral describes it as "lncRNA (ENSCCEG00000014152.1)". The record is from RNAcentral. Lineage: Eukaryota; Metazoa; Chordata; Aves; Passeriformes; Paridae.
CUGUUUGCUGCUAAUCGAGAGGGACGGUGCAUUUUGCCUUGCUGAGCCUGCCUCGCCCAGGUGGUGGAUUAAAGGAGGUUGAUAUUGCUCAUUUCAGUCAAAAAUUAACCCAGGGCCACAGAGGUUUUGCAGCUGUUUCUCCUCCACAGAGCUGAAUCGAUACUAAGGAACUCUGUUGCUUGGAGACCUGCAUUUUUCUACCUGUGCUCAAAACAGUGGACAUUUUUAAUGCAGCCAACAAUGAUGAAGUAGACUAAUUACAGUAGAAAAUCUAGACUCUCAAGAUGAUGGCUGGCAACUCGAGAGAAAGAAAAACAU